Long non-coding RNA from Schistocerca serialis cubense, 1829 nucleotides. RefSeq lists it as uncharacterized. Lineage: Eukaryota; Metazoa; Arthropoda; Insecta; Orthoptera; Acrididae. The transcript is spliced from 5 exons. The record is from RefSeq and is a predicted model, not a curated record.
GGCGUAUUUCAGCUAUGAACUCUUAACGGGUUAUCAGUCGAGUUGCGUCGUGUACUUGUCGCAACGUUUCAGUGGACUGCGUAUCAAUCAUCGCCUGAAGAUAAUGGAUACGCAAUCCAUUGAAACCUUGCGACUAGAAGACGACGCCACUCGGUUGAUACUCCGUGAAGAUUUCAUGUAUGUCUAUCGUUUUCGAUACAACGCGUACACGUCAUAAUGACGUCAGUCCUGAUUCCGUCAACGUGGAGUAAGACUCCAGCGCCAGGCGUUUUACUGGCGUGAUACACUCCGUGUAUGGACAUAUUUUUAUUUCUAGAUUUUUUUAAAUUUUCUUUCAGGACUAUAAUCCCAAGCGAAGAUAUUUUAUAAGCCCCAAUAAAAUGACUGCCAUUUUGAAUGUGGCCUAAACUCGAUACUGCGUUUUUACGGUACGACAAAUUUCUUUGGAGCGACUGCAACGAUUCAGACAGAACUGAAGGUCAUUUGUUAAGGCAAUCACUUCGAUGGGAGUGGCUGUGUUGGUACUAAAUAGGAGGGCGCUGUUGUGCGGAAGUUUUGCAGUGCUGCACAAUUUGACAGACAGUCGUUAAGUGGCGUCUGCUGUAUAGCAUUGUGUAGAAGGCCUGUGUAGCGCAUCGCAUAGGUUGUCAAGCUGCCUGAAAGCAGGAACAAAAGGUGGUGUUUCAGGCUUGACUCAAAUGCCAUACGUUCUAGUUAGAGGGAAUCUCGCAUCUUACGGACAGAGGCAGCCUUGGAGAGUCCUAGUGUCUGGAUUAAAAGCUGGAAAUGGCCACUCAACUUUCGCAACCUAAUGAUUUAAAGAUGGAAGACCUGCCAUCAUACCUGUAUGUGGCAGUUAAAGGCUCAUUACAUGCUAAUGACUGUUCAGUCUUCGGACUAAAUUGUGAUGAAAUACAGGCACUCACAAAACGUUACCAGAACACCUCUGCAGAGACGCUUAAUGGAGUUAUAAUAAAAGGUACUGCUGCUUAUUAGAAAUGUGCUAUUAUUUACAUCAACUGGAAAUGGCUGAUAAACAAAGAACAUUUAGUACUACAUAAGCAAUUGUCAAUGUUUAAGUGAAUUGUACAGAAAUUGUAAAGAUUAUUGUUGAAGAAAAUAAAUUUGUGUUUAGUGUAUGUGGCAGAUUUAACCUAGACUAUAAAAUUGUUAACUUCUAAAAAUGAUUUUUUUGGUUUCUAAAUAUGAGAAAAUCUAAUGUCCUUCCUGUUGUUAAGAGUUUGUCUGUUUUUUGACUUGUCUGAACUGCAAGACCUACUACAUGCACAAUUAUUCACAAUAUCUGGGUAUGUAAAAUUAACACACAAUCAUAGAUGCUAUCUCUGGUUAAAUGGUUUGCUUGAAAUACAAUAUACACAUAGUGUGUGGUUUAAAUGGUUUAAAAUGGAAGAAAAGCUUACCUUUACACAAAUCUGCUAUGUUACCUAUUUAACAUGAACAACUGAUACAGUCUGUAAUUUGUCAUUUUGGUAUGUGUGUAUACUUUGGCGCAAAGAAAUAUACUGCCAAAAAAGUUGAUGCUAUGCAAGAACAAAAAAUGUAUGUUAUUUUCAACAAGUAAGGAAAAUACUGGAAUUAAGUGUAUAGAAGAGUUCAAUUUAAACUUCUUGUAAGGACCACUUAAAUGAAUUUAUAGUUUUGUUUGUUGGAUUAAUUGUUAAGAAUAAUUAUUAAAAUGAAGCUUAUUGUAAUUUAAUGUUUGUACAUUAUAAUUGUAGAAUGUUUGUAUAAUUGAUUAUUCAAUGAGUUACUUUUUAUACUCUUCCAUACUCUGAUACAAAUUGGUAAUAAAAAAUUUGGUAUUAUCA